Molecule: ribosomal RNA, 1069 nt
Filed under: Tuber indicum
Lineage: Eukaryota; Fungi; Ascomycota; Pezizomycetes; Pezizales; Tuberaceae
Description: LSU rRNA
Rfam family: Eukaryotic large subunit ribosomal RNA
Source: RNAcentral
UCAACUGCCGUAUGUAUCAACAGGGAUUGCCCUAGUAACGGCGAGUGAAGCGGCAAAAGCUCAAAUUUGAAAUCUGGCAUCUUUGGUGUCCGAAUUGUAAUUUGGAGAGGCAACUUCAGGUAGGACCCAGUCUAUGUUCCUUGGAACAGGACGUCAUAGAGGGUGAGAAUCCCGUUCUUGACUGGAUGUUCUUGCUAGUAUGUAGUGCCUUCUACGAGUCGAGUUGUUUGGGAAUGCAGCUCAAAAUGGGUGGUAAAUUUCAUCUAAAGCUAAAUAUUGGCGAGAGACCGAUAGCGCACAAGUAGAGUGAUCGAAAGAUGAAAAGCACUUUGAAAAUAGAGUCAAAAAGUACGUGAAAUUGUUGAAAGGGAAGCGCUUGAGACCAGACUCAGCCUUUGGCAAACAAGUGUCCUUCUGGGCAGUGCACUUGCCUCAGGUUGGGCCAGUAUCAGUUAGGAUGGUAGGAGAAAGGCUAGGAGAAUGUGACUCCGAUCUGGAGUGUUAUAGACCCUGGCGUCAUGCUACCUGUCCUGACUGUGGACCGCGCGUUAGCUAGGAUACUGGCGUAAUGGUCUUCAGCGGCCCGUCUUGAAACACGGACCAAGGAGUCUAACAUCUAUGCAAGUGUUUGGGCUACACACCCUCACGCGUAAUGAAAGUAAGCGGAGGUGGGAAUUCCGUAAGGAAUGCACCAUCGACCGAUCCUGAUGUCUUCGGAUGGAUUUGAGUAGGAGCAUAGCUGUUGGGACCCGAAAGAUGGUGAACUAUGCCUGAAUAGGGUGAAGCCAGAGGAAACUCUGGUGGAGGCUCGCAGCGGUUCUGACGUGCAAAUCGAUCGUCAAAUUUGGGUAUAGGGGCGAAAGACUAAUCGAACCAUCUAGUAGCUGGUUCCUGCCGAAGUUUCCCUCAGAUAGCAGUAACGAUCUCAGUUUUAUGAGGUAAAGCGAAUGAUUAGAGGCCUUGGGGUUGUAACAACCUUAACCUAUUCUCAACUUUAAUAUGUAGAGUCUGUACUAUGACGUGACAUUGAUGUACCGUUACUAGUGGGCCAUUUUUGGUAGCAGAACUG